UAAGGAAUUUUCGUCAAUGGGGGAAACCCUGAACGAGCAACGCCGCGUGGAGGACGACGGUCUUCGGAUUGUAAACUCCUUUUAUACGGGACGAUAAUGACGGUACCGUAGGAAUAAGCCCCGGCUAACUCUGUGCCAGCAGCCGCGGUAAUACAGAGGGGGCAAGCGUUGUCCGGAAUUACUGGGCGUAAAGCGCACGCAGGUGGUCACGCAAGUGGUGUGUGAAACCAAUCAGCUUAACUGAUUGACGCCAUGCCAAACUGCGAGACUCGAGGGAUGGAGAGGUUGUUCGAAUUGCUGGUGUAGUGGUGAAAUGCGUAGAGAUCAGCAGGAAGACCAAGGGCGAAAGCAGACAACUGGCCAUCACCUGACACUGAGGUGCGAAAGCGUGGGGAGCGAA
This 400-nucleotide ribosomal RNA is filed under the name uncultured bacterium. RNAcentral describes it as "bacterial SSU rRNA". It matches the Rfam family "Bacterial small subunit ribosomal RNA", at positions 355 to 772 of the family's 1533-position model. The record is from RNAcentral.